Molecule: unclassified non-coding RNA, 760 nt
Filed under: Actinia tenebrosa (Australian red waratah sea anemone)
Lineage: Eukaryota; Metazoa; Cnidaria; Anthozoa; Actiniaria; Actiniidae
Description: uncharacterized LOC116299007, transcript variant X2
Source: RNAcentral
CAAAAGACAGACUGGUGUUAAAGGAGCGUUCUACUUACAUUACGGUGACAGUUCCAACAACUAUUUGCACUCUUCCAGCCUUACUUUAGCAAACAUUUCCAAGCUCUCUGGAAGCUCUUUGGAAGUACGAGGAGGCGAUUGUCCCUCAGCGAUAAAUACUUUUCACGUUCAUUCACUUGGGAUUCAAAGUCUGAGGGGAGUCACAUCCCAGGUCAUGAUCAAUUAUUGACAAGGGAUCAACAAAGGAGGGGACUCCAUAUGGUACUACUUCAGUCAAACACUGAAGCCCAAUGUACAAGAGAGACUAACAAGACAGCAGUGGGUGCCAUUUGAUAACCCUCCUUGACACAACAUACAUACAACAAGCAUUUGGUACUACCAGCAACAAUUGCAGAUUGCAUANGAUAGGACUUCAUAUGGGGAUACGAGAUACAUUUUGUUGGUAGAGUCAGCCUCAGUGGUUACAGGUAUCAGUAUUUUCUUUAACUUUGAAAGAGAGCUCAGAAUCAAAUGGAAAAAUGAGAAUGUGAACUCAUCAAACAAAACUUGUUCAAUUUAUGGAACAAAAAUAUUUAUUCAUUGAAAUUAUGAAUAAAAUGGUUCGUAUUGAAGUGGAAAAGUAAUCUAUUAUGUGAUUAGAAUUUCUGGCCAUUCACAUCAAAGACAGUUAUAACACUGAUUGACUUCAGAGUGAUUUCACUUAAUUAACCCUAACUUGUAGAUUCUGUGAUGAGUUAAAUAAAAACCACUCUAAAGAGUU